This 5216-nucleotide long non-coding RNA is filed under the name Sus scrofa (pig). RNAcentral's name for it is "lncRNA (ENSSSCG00000061167.1)". Lineage: Eukaryota; Metazoa; Chordata; Mammalia; Artiodactyla; Suidae. The record is from RNAcentral.
CUGUCUUUUCUAGAGCCGCACCCACAGCAUAUGGAGGUUCCAGACUAGGGGUCCAAUCGGAGCUGUAGCCGCCGGCCUACGCCAGAGCCACAGCAACAUGGGAUCCAAGCCGCGUCUGCAACCUACACCACAGCUCACAGCAACGCCGGAUCGUUAACCCACUGAGCAAGGCCAGGGACUGAACCUGCAACCUCAUGGUUCCUAGUCAGAUUCAUUAACCACUGAGCCACGACGGGAACUCCCUAAAUUCUCUUUUUGAAAGUGUAUAUCUCAAUCGCAUUGCAUAUCCCUCGUUCAUUCACUCAGCCACUCCUCCCUGACCAUUUUAUACCCGCUUUUACCUGGAAACCCCAAUGUCUCCUUCACUAUUUUCAUUCACAACUGAUGACUCUUGUUUCCUGCUUCACUGUAAAGUCAAAUCCAUCAGGGGGUCUUCUUCCAAGUACAUGCAGCUGUUGGCAGAAUCUAUUUGCUUUCAGCUGUAAAACGCUCGUCAGCUUGGCCCUUCAAGGCCGGCAAGAGGGUGUUUCUAUCUUCUAGACUCUUUCUCAUUCCAUCUGUCUCACUCAGGAUGAUCUCCCUUUGAUUAACCCAAAGUCAACUGAUAAGGGACCCACAAGUACAUUUACAAAAUCCCCUCACCUUUGCCAAAUAAAGCAACCAAGUUGUGGAGUGAAAUCCCAUCACUUUCAUAGGUUCUGCUCACACUCAAGGCGAGGUGUCUAUGCAGGGAGUAUACAGCAGGCAGCAGGGAUUUUGAGGGCCAUCCUAGAAUUCUGCUUACCUCACUAAACAAUUCAACAGAUUAGAAUAAUGGCCUCUCCUUGUCCUAAGCAAAUAAGAAAAACAAAAAUUGAUAGUGGUGCUCCUGUAUCCAUGGGGGAUGUGUUCCAAGACCCCCAGUGAAUUCCGGAAGCUGCAGAUAGUACCAGACCCUUUAUACACUAUGUUUUUUCCUAUACAUAUACACCUAUGAUAAGGUUCAAUGUAUAAAUUAGGUACAGCAAGAGAUUAAAGAAAUAAUAACUACUAAUAAAAUAGAGCAAUUAUCACAAUGUACAGUUGGCCCUUAAACAAUGUGGGUUUGAACUGUACGGCCCACUGAUAUGUCGAUAUUUUUCAACAGUAAAUACUACAUGGUCUGUGUCUGGUUGAAUUUGUGGGUGCAGAGGAACCUUGGAUAUGAAGAGCUAACUAUAAAUUACAUGCAAAUUAAUGCCCAUGUCUUUCAAGAGUCAGUUGUACUGUAAUAAAAAUUGUGUGACUGCGAUCUUUCUCAAAAUAUUUUAUUGUACCACAGUCACCCUUGUUGUGCUGAUAUGAGAUGACAAAAUAUCUACGUGAUGAGAUAAGUGAGUGACAGAGGAAUCGUGAUGCAGAGCUAGGCUACUACUGACCUUCUGAUAAUGGGUCAAAAGGAGAAUCAUCUGCCUCGGGUAACCCUGGACCAUUGAGGUGGGUGUUGAUGGUUGGACGUCAGAAGCAGACGAUGUUGAUGGUUGGGGAUCCCAGGUGGGAGGAAGCAGAAAGGAGCAUGAUUUCACAUGCUACUCACAACGAUGCACAACUUAAAGUUUAUGAAUUGUUUGUUUCCAGAAUUUUCCAUUUAAUAUUAUUGGACCAUGGUUGACUCUUCUAACUGAAACCAUGGGACGUGAAACCAUGGAUAAGGAUGGACUACCGUAUUUAAACAAAAAAUGGUCUUUGGAUCUAUUCCUGCCACAGAGAUUCAAAAAUUCUUGGAAGUUACUAAAGAGCAGAAAUGCCUUUGUUAAGCUAGUGAGGUGACUCUGAGUAGGACCCCCUAGAAAGACUCUGGAGUAUAUUAGGGGAUGGGAAUUGAGUUUAAUCAGUCAUGAUUAGUAAUUAAAUCAACUGUGCCUAUGCACUAAAACCAGAUAGAAACUCUCGCACAGUGAGGUUAGAGAAGUUCCCGUGCUGGUGACCAUACACUGACGUGCUGGGAGAGUGGCAUUUCCUAAGAGGGGCCACACCUCCUCACACUUUGCCUUCAGUGUUUCUUUCCUUUGUUUUGGCUCUUGCUGAGUUACAUCUGCUAUAACAAAACUAUGAUUUUAAGUAUAGCACUUUCCUGAGUAUUGUGAGUCAUUCUAGUGAAUUAUCAAGUCUGAGAGAGGGUUCUGGGAACCCCCAAAUGUGUAAUCAACUAAACAAAAUCGUGGGUGCCUUGGGGGCACCUGGGGCUUGCAGGUGGAAUCUAAAAUGGGUCUGUCCAGUGGUACAGACCCCCUUAGCCUGGAGGGUCUGCACUACUUCAGGCAGUUAUUGUCAGGACUGAAUUGAAUCAUAUGACACCAAGUUGGUGUCCAAGAAUUAAUGAUGGAAAAACAAAAGAAAUAGAUUCAGAUAGCUAAUUAACUUUUAACUAUCACCUACAAUUAGAGUUUCAGAAUUAUCUGGAAGUAAUAAUAAAGACAAUGAAACAAAGAGACAAUAAAUUCCAGCAAGAUAUAUAUAAAGGUACGCUGAGAAAAGGCCAUCAAAAUCUAGAAGAAGAAUCACAAACUGAACCAACACCACUUAUUCCCUUAGUUGCAAAGGAUAACGUUUCUUACUAGAUUUCCCAUGAGAAGCAUUUUCCUUUUUCAGUUUGUUGUAUACAGUUGUGCCUGAUUUAGCUGGACAGCAACAUGGCACCAUUUCUGAUUUUAGCACAUGAGUCCUGCUGCUCUCAGAAUCAUUUCAUAAUUUUCACAAAGCCAUGAAUUUGAGAGUCCCCUCCAAGCGGGUAUCAAACAGAAGUGAAUGAAGAAAGGGAGUGGCUACUAUAGAAGUCUCUUAUCCUUGAGCCAAGAAAAGUGAGCAUUUGAGGGAAGGUGUGAUCAAAAUUGCCAAAACUUUAAGGAGGCAAAGCGAAGAACCACUGAUUGAUUAUUACAAAGCCCUUUUCAGGGGGCAUUUUAUCAGGGCUUGUCUUCAAAUGGAAAUCGAGACAGUCACACUAUUUCAGGAGCUGUGGGCUCACUGCAGAGUGUGCAGAACUAGUUAUGCCCUUCAGUGGCCUGGCUGACUGCUUCUAAUAUUUACUCUUAAGCAGAUUUCCCACGUGUAUCCCACCAGAAGCCCCCCAUACUCUUCUCAAGAGCUCACUGGGCUAUUUUCCAACAAAGGAAACACAGAUGGAACAAAAGGAGUUUCUGAUUAGCUACAUCUAUUGAACAGCCUAAAGAGCAGGAGAUCUGAAAUUCGCAGGCAGUCAGAGAUACUGGCUGUUAAUACGGCCUCUUGUUUCAGGUUCGGCUUCCCCAGGAUGGGGAAGUUGCAGAGGCGAAAGUCAUCAAGUGGCUCCCAGGUGAGGGGACAAAAGAACAGGAGCAACCCUGUGUAGCAUAACUGUCUCAUAACAUAAAACUGAUAUCUUUGACCUUCCUAGUUGGGUUCUAUAACCUCAGGUCCACUAGAUUAGAAAACAGAAGUUAAUAAUUCCGGGGCUCGACUCGACUAUGCUGUGUCACUUUGAACAAGAUACUUGACUUUUGGCUGCACAUUUUUGCUCCUCUAUAAAACGAUAAUAAUAACAUUUUGCCACCUACCUCUUAGCAAGUUUGUUAUUUCUGAUAGAUAGAUAGAUAGAUUUUGCAUUUCCACAGUGUGCUGGUGAGUGUACAGCACUGUUCUCCAGAGUUUCAGGUCACGAGGCACAAGCAUCGCAGUUUUUGUACGGCUGUCCACAUCCACAGAGCUCAUAUUCCUAGAGCCGCUGUUGCCACUUAACAGCUCUGUCUACAUCACACACAGCAGCACUGGCUAACAGUUAGUGACACACCGUAUGUUCUUUUUUAGUUUUUCAUACUGAACAGUUAAAAACCUACUCCCAGAAAGUGGCUGAAAGAGAAAUUUCUGUCCCUUGUGUGGCCUGGGUGAGCAUUCUUGUCUUGGUCUGCUCAGGCUGCCAUGACAAAAUACCAUAGGCUGGGGGGCUUGCAGAACAGAGAGGUUGAUUUUCUCACAGUUCUGGAGGCUGGAAGUCCAAGAUCCAGCCGACUCAGUUUCUGAGAGAACUCUCUCCCGGGCUUGCAGCCUCUGUUAUGUCCUCACACAGCCAUUCCAAGGGUGUGCUCUCGGGCAGAGCGACAGAGGAAGCGCUCCGGUACUUCUUCUUCUAAGGACACAAAUCCUACUGGAUCAAGGUUAGAACCUCAUUUACCUUUAAUUACCUCCUAAAAGUUCCAUCUCCAGAUUCAGUCACCUGGGGGUUUGGGGCCUCAAUAUAGGGAUUGUGGGGGGAAACACAAUUCAGACGACAGCCAUCCUGCAGGAAGCAUGCUCGUGGGAGGUUUGGACCAAGAACCAUCUUGGUGACGUGGAGGGUGGGAGGCUGGGCCAGUGCGUCCAACACCAUGAGAAAUGGGACCGACUAAACCAAAGGCUCUCAAACUUUUAGAGAAGUAGACUCUUACCUUCAAAUUACGUUUGACAAGGGAGCCCAGUAUGCGAAUAGCUAAAAAUGGAGUUGUUCUCUUUAAGGCUGAGAGGCUCUUCACUCCUCUCCAGAACUUCCACUCCACACCAGCUCUUCAAAGAGGACCAUGAAAGGUUCAUCAGAGCACUUUAUGGAAAAUAGCCCUGCCUAUUGUAAUCAUACAUCACAUUUUCCAGCACCAACCAAGCACUCCAUCUCUUUUCAAUUUUUUUCUGGGAAAACACUUAGGUUUAACUAAGAGUAGACUCUUACUUGUCUUUUCGUGUGUCUAUAUCCCUUUUCUCUCAAACGUGUUGUGCUCUCUUGCUGGGCAGAUGAUAUACCUCAGAUCUCUUUGAUCUUCAAAAUCAUACCCAAUGUUUUACACCCCAAAUACUGGAGUUUGAAAUUUUUUGAUGGAUAAUGGAUUUCCACCGGGUCAUAUAUUAGUACAGACUCAUAGAAUCUUAGAAAAGGACAAGAUCUUGGAUAUCACCUCGUUAAAUUCACUUAUUUUACAGAGCAGACUAAGGCCAAGGUUCUCUCUUAGCCAGUCAGUGUCUGAACGGUGAAGAGGGUCAACAUCCCUGCGUCCCCAGAACAGCGGUCCUUUCGUCAGGCCUGUGCACGCUCAGAAUUGAUUACGUGCAACUCCUAGUGUUGAACAGAGACUCGUGUUUGGGAAAUUUUGUGCAUUAAAUUUUACUGGAAGUCCAGAACCUCAGCAAAUUCAAAGUAAACCAGGGAUGCUCAGCCAGUGAUUUUCAUUAAACAUCUGACAUUUAUCUUAUAG